Long non-coding RNA from Equus quagga, 344 nucleotides. RefSeq lists it as uncharacterized. The transcript is spliced from 3 exons. The record is from RefSeq and is a predicted model, not a curated record. NCBI's taxonomy places the organism in Eukaryota, Metazoa, Chordata, Mammalia, Perissodactyla, Equidae.
UAGCAUCCAUGCCGGCUAAGGUUAUGUCCACCACAUCAGAGAACAGGCUCAUGGCAUCAGCACUUGAUUAUGUGCUAUGUGGUCUUAAAAUUGAUUUGUGAGAGAACCUUGCUUCUAGAAUAAGAUGGAAUCCAGGACACAGAAGCCUGCUGUCUUUGAAAAUGCUGCUUACUACAUCUGGCAUCCUGGUACUUGGCUGCAUCCAACUUUAUAAAGAACAGUGCCUGGUACGCAGAAGGCCUUCAGUAAAUGGAUGAACAACAUGAAUGGAAGAUGUAUUUGUUCAUGGAAGGACUUAUACUGAUCUUCUUUAGAUCUCUACAGUUCGGAACACAUUAGCUUGA